Molecule: ribosomal RNA, 491 nt
Filed under: uncultured bacterium
Lineage: Bacteria
Description: partial 16S ribosomal RNA
Rfam family: Bacterial small subunit ribosomal RNA
Source: RNAcentral
GUGAACGCUGGCGGUAGGCCUAACACAUGCAAGUCGAACGGCAGCACAGUAAGAGCUUGCUCUUACGGGUGGCGAGUGGCGGACGGGUGAGGAAUACAUCGGAAUCUACUUUUUCGUGGGGGAUAACGUAGGGAAACUUACGCUAAUACCGCAUACGACCUACGGGUGGAAGCAGGGGAUCUUCGGACCUUGCGCGAUUGAAUGAGCCGAUGUCGGAUUAGCUAGUUGGCGGGGUAAAGGCCCACCAAGGCGACGAUCCGUAGCUGGUCUGAGAGGAUGAUCAGCCACACUGGAACUGAGACACGGUCCAGACUCCUACGGGAGGCAGCAGUGGGGAAUAUUGGACAAUGGGCGCAAGCCUGAUCCAGCCAUACCGCGUGGGUGAAGAAGGCCUUCGGGUUGUAAAGCCCUUUUGUUGGGAAAGAAAAGCAGCAGGUUAAUACCCCGCUGUUCUGACGUUACCCAAAGAAUAAGCACCGGCUAACUUCGUG